This 253-nucleotide ribosomal RNA is filed under the name uncultured bacterium. RNAcentral describes it as "partial 16S ribosomal RNA". It matches the Rfam family "Bacterial small subunit ribosomal RNA", at positions 524 to 776 of the family's 1533-position model. The record is from RNAcentral.
UACGUAGGGGGCAAGCGUUAUCCGGAAUUACUGGGUGUAAAGGGAGCGUAGACGGUAAUGUAAGUCUGGAGUGAAAGGCGGGGGCCCAACCCCCGGACUGCUCUGGAAACUAUGUUACUAGAGUGCAGGAGAGGUAAGCGGAAUUCCUAGUGUAGCGGUGAGAUGCGUAGAUAUUAGGAGGAGCACCAGUGGCGAAGGCGGCUUACUGGACUGUAACUGACGUUGAGGCUCGAAAGCGUGGGGAGCAAACAGG